This is a small nuclear RNA of Saimiri boliviensis boliviensis (Bolivian squirrel monkey), 105 nucleotides long. NCBI's taxonomy places the organism in Eukaryota, Metazoa, Chordata, Mammalia, Primates, Cebidae. The record is from Ensembl.
GCUCGCUUUGGCAGAGCAUAUACUAAAAUUGCAACAACAUAGAGAAGAUUAGCAUGGCCCCUGCAUAAGGAUGACAUACAAAUUUGUGAAGCCUUCCAUAUCUUU